GAUGAACGCUGGCGGCGUGCCUAAUACAUGCAAGUCGAGCGAACAGACGAGGAGCUUGCUCCUCUGACGUUAGCGGCGGACGGGUGAGUAACACGUGGAUAACCUACCUAUAAGACUGGGAUAACUUCGGGAAACCGGAGCUAAUACCGGAUAAUAUAUUGAACCGCAUGGUUCAAUAGUGAAAGACGGUUUUGCUGUCACUUAUAGAUGGAUCCGCGCCGCAUUAGCUAGUUGGUAAGGUAACGGCUUACCAAGGCAACGAUGCGUAGCCGACCUGAGAGGGUGAUAGGCCACCCUGGAACUGAGACACGGUCCAGACUCCUACGGGAGGCAGCAGUAGGGAAUCUGCCGCAAUGGGCGAAAGCCUGACGGAGCAACGCCGCGUGAGUGAUGAAGGUCUUCGGAUCGUAAAACUCUGUUAUUAGGGAAGAACAAAUGUGUAAGUAACUAUGCACGUCUUGACGGUACCUAAUCAGAAAGCCACGGCUAACUACGUG
This 497-nucleotide ribosomal RNA is filed under the name uncultured bacterium. RNAcentral's name for it is "partial 16S ribosomal RNA". It matches the Rfam family "Bacterial small subunit ribosomal RNA", at positions 28 to 507 of the family's 1533-position model. The record is from RNAcentral.